GUGGGGAAUUUUGGACAAUGGGCGCAAGCCUGAUCCAGCAAUGCCGCGUGCAGGAAGAAGGCCUUCGGGUUGUAAACUGCUUUUGUACGGAACGAAACGGUCCUGGUUAAUACCUGGGGCUAAUGACGGUACCGUAAGAAUAAGCACCGGCUAACUACGUGCCAGCAGCCGCGGUAAUACGUAGGGUGCGAGCGUUAAUCGGAAUUACUGGGCGUAAAGCGUGCGCAGGCGGUUUUGUAAGACAGGCGUGAAAUCCCCGGGCUCAACCUGGGAAUUGCGCUUGUGACUGCAAGGCUGGAGUGCGGCAGAGGGGGAUGGAAUUCCGCGUGUAGCAGUGAAAUGCGUAGAUAUGCGGAGGAACACCGAUGGCGAAGGCAAUCCCCUGGGCCUGCACUGACGCUCAUGCACGAAAGCGUGGGGAGCAAACAGGAUUAGAAACCCUGGUAGUCC
Molecule: ribosomal RNA, 450 nt
Filed under: uncultured bacterium
Lineage: Bacteria
Description: partial 16S ribosomal RNA
Rfam family: Bacterial small subunit ribosomal RNA
Source: RNAcentral